Molecule: ribosomal RNA, 513 nt
Filed under: Fontanospora eccentrica
Lineage: Eukaryota; Fungi; Ascomycota; Leotiomycetes; Helotiales; Discinellaceae
Description: eukaryotic LSU rRNA
Rfam family: 5.8S ribosomal RNA (bases 170-323)
Source: RNAcentral
AAGGAUCAUUACAGAGUUCAUGCCCUCACGGGUAGAUCUCCCACCCUUGAAUACUAUACCUUAGUUGCUUUGGCAGGCCGUGGAAACACCAUGGGCCCCGGCUUGUGCGUGCCUGCCAGAGGAAACAAACUCUGUUUUUAGUGAUGUCUGAGUACUAUAUAAUAGUUAAAACUUUCAACAACGGAUCUCUUGGUUCUGGCAUCGAUGAAGAACGCAGCGAAAUGCGAUAAGUAAUGUGAAUUGCAGAAUUCAGUGAAUCAUCGAAUCUUUGAACGCACAUUGCGCCCCGUGGUAUUCCGCGGGGCAUGCCUGUUCGAGCGUCAUUUCAACCCAUCAAGCUCCGGCUUGGUCUUGGGGCCUGCGGUCUCGCAGCCUCUAAACUCAGUGGCGGUGCUAUUGAGCUCUGAGCGUAGUAAUUUUUUCUCGCUAUAGGGUCUCGGUGGUGACUUGCCAGCAACCCCCAAUUUUUAUCAGGUUGACCUCGGAUCAGGUAGGGAUACCCGCUGAACUUAA